RNAcentral lists this ribosomal RNA (372 nucleotides) under uncultured bacterium. RNAcentral describes it as "bacterial SSU rRNA". It matches the Rfam family "Bacterial small subunit ribosomal RNA", at positions 1093 to 1469 of the family's 1533-position model. The record is from RNAcentral.
CGAGCGCAACCCCUAUCCUUUGUUGCCAGCGGUGAUGCCGGGAACUCAAGGGAGACUGCCGGUGAUAAACCGGAGGAAGGUGGGGCGUCAAGUCAUCAUGGCCCUUACGACCAGGGCUACACACGUGCUACAAUGGUCGGUACAAAGGGUUGCUACCUAGCGAUAGGAUGCUAAUCUCAAAAAGCCGAUCGUAGUCCGGAUUGGAGUCUGCAACUCGACUCCAUGAAGUCGGAAUCGCUAGUAAUCGCGGAUCAGAAUGCCGCGGUGAGUACGUUCCCGGGCCUUGUACACACCGCCCGUCACACCAUGGGAAUUUGUUGCACCAGAAGUAGGUAGUCUAACCGCAAGGAGGACGCUUACCACGGUGUGGCC